CCUACGGGCGGCAGCAGUGAGGAAUAUUGGUCAAUGGACGAGAGUCUGAACCAGCCAAGUAGCGUGAAGGAUGACUGCCCUAUGGGUUGUAAACUUCUUUUAUAUGGGAAUAAAAUGUUCCACGUGUGGGAUUUUGUAUGUACCAUAUGAAUAAGGAUCGGCUAACUCCGUGCCAGCAGCCGCGGUAAUACGGAGGAUCCGAGCGUUAUCCGGAUUUAUUGGGUUUAAAGGGAGCGUAGGUGGAUUGUUAAGUCAGUUGUGAAAGUUUGCGGCUCAACCGUAAAAUUGCAGUUGAAACUGGCAGUCUUGAGUACAGUAGAGGUGGGCGGAAUUCGGGGUGUAGCGGUGAAAGGCUUAGAUAUCACGAAGAACUCCGAUUGCGAAGGCAGCUCACUGGACUGCAACUGACACUGAGGCUCGAAAGUGUGGGUAUCAAACAGGAUUAGAUACCCCAGUAGUC
This 460-nucleotide ribosomal RNA is filed under the name uncultured bacterium. RNAcentral's name for it is "partial 16S ribosomal RNA". It matches the Rfam family "Bacterial small subunit ribosomal RNA", at positions 338 to 795 of the family's 1533-position model. The record is from RNAcentral.